UACGAAGGGUGCAAACGUUGCUCGGAAUUAUUGGGCGUAAAGAGCUCGUAGGCGGUUUGUCGCGUCUGCCGUGAAAGUCCGGGGCUCAACUCCGGAUCUGCGGUGGGUACGGGCAGACUAGAGUGAUGUAGGGGAGACUGGAAUUCCUGGUGUAGCGGUGAAAUGCGCAGAUAUCAGGAGGAACACCAGCGGCGAAGGCGGCGCUCUGGGCCGGUACUGACACUGAGGAGCGAAAGCGUGGGUAGCAAACAGG
RNAcentral lists this ribosomal RNA (253 nucleotides) under uncultured bacterium. RNAcentral's name for it is "partial 16S ribosomal RNA". It matches the Rfam family "Bacterial small subunit ribosomal RNA", at positions 524 to 776 of the family's 1533-position model. The record is from RNAcentral.